Molecule: long non-coding RNA, 1026 nt
Filed under: Zonotrichia albicollis (white-throated sparrow)
Lineage: Eukaryota; Metazoa; Chordata; Aves; Passeriformes; Passerellidae
Description: lncRNA (ENSZALG00000012944.1)
Source: RNAcentral
UGUGAAUUUUUAAACUCGAUGACCCCAAGUAAAAAUGAGAAGAGACUAAAGAAUGAAACAAAAACAAAUUUGUUGUAAUCUUCGCUGCAGUGUUUAUACAAUUACAAUAUGCAUACAGUCCCAGCUCUCAGGCUGCCACAGCUCUCAGCUGUCUUAGAUACAACCAUAGAAUAUAUACAUAUCCCUAUACAGUCCCAGCUCUCAGGCUGCCACAGCUCUCGGCUGUCUUUAGAUGUUCCAAGGCUCUUUUCCUUAAAGGCCAUAUUCUUACAGCUUUCUGCUGCUACAGCUCCUUAAUUCAAAGGCCAUAUUAUGUUCCAAAGUCCCAGCUCUCUGGCUGCCACAGCUCUCGGCUGUCCAGGGGAUUCCAUACCUUCUCUCGAUGUUUGGUUGUGUGUUCUUCCUCACACGGGGCACCAGUUGUUGUAAUCUUCGCUGCAGUGUUGUUCUUGCCUCUCUGCUGGGGCUCUUCUCCAUUCUCUGCAGCACAGUCCUUCCUGUCUUCUCAGGGGCUCCUCUUGGGCUCUCGACCCACCCCCUAUUUAUUUCAGUUACCUUCACUGUGGUAGUGUGUUGUUAAGUUUCUUGUGUUAUUCACCCAAUUUAUGUAUUGUUCUCCCCUAUUAUGUGUAAAAUGGUUUCGUUCCCCCAGUUUUUCCCGCCACUGCUAGCCUGUCAGCUAAGUUGCUAUAGUAACCGCUAUUCAUAGUUGCCGAUAUGUAAUUGCUCCUCCCCUGGUUUCCCUUAUAAGUGAAAGUUGUUUCCUCCCUGUCCAGUCAAUCACUCCCUUCCUCCUCCCAGGUUUCGAGAACCUUCUCCUCUCUGGAGAUGGUGGUUGGCUGGGGUCCCAGGACACCUCCUUUACCUUUUGAUUAUUGGUCUCCAUGGAGUGUCAGUUCUGUGAAGUUCAUCCCCUCACCUUUCCCGAUUGGUUCCGCCUGUACCCACCCCCCUCCUUUAUAAUCCUGUUUUCACCCCCUAUGAAAAAACCUUUUUCCCGGUUGGUUUCUGCGUGUUUGGAUCCCG